CAGGGGCUCCUUUGGUCCUAAGGGACAGAGACUCACUCCCAACUCCGGGGAAAAGGUAGAUAGCAGGAAGCCUCAGAGAAGCCCCAGAGCGGGGAUCCAGGCAGGCAUCCCAGAAACCAGGAUUGGAACUGGGAAACCUCAUCUCUAAGCUUUCUCUCUCAGCAUCUCUGCUCCUUGCACCUCUGCUCCGUUGUCUUCUGUUGACCGUUGCACUUCCUGGGUUACUCACGGUUUCUGCUUUCCCGUAACUUCUCCUCGUGUGAGGGCCCAAGAACAAUCUCCACCCUAACGCCGCCUGAACUUCCACCUUCCGGGAUCACCACCAGCUGCCUUCUUCCCUCUGUGCCACUUGAUUCCAAUUUCCGAGACAGAGUCUGAGUGGCUCUGCUCAUCCUUUUGAUCCGGGUCAGGCAAAUGCUAGGCCAAGGGCCAGGCCACGGAUGAGGGUUGAGGCUGGUCCACAGCUAGGGAAUUUGGCCAUGUGAGGUAGCUGGGUUCUGAUCAGGGAGUCUCCUUGCAGACCUGAAAUAUGUGUCAUAUAGUAGGCCAGAGGGGAAAGGAUAAAUUUAAAAUUUAUGACGCAAUAAAAUCAGCUUUAUUAGGUAAUUGUCUGAAUGUGGGAGGUGAGUGGAGUGGAGGUAAGCAUGACCGGCAGGGGCCGGCUCGGGUAACUGGAUGAUCUCUCAGCUGCGCUUUCCUCCAUGUUGGUGCUGUUUCUUGGUUCUCAGGAAGCUUCACUUAAUUCAGUCAGGGUCUCAGCAGAAAACGGAUGGCUGUCUCACACUGGGAAACGUGAGGAGGGUUUAACAAGAGGACGGAGGAACAUGGUAUAAGGUAGCACAAGGGACAGUGCAGCACCCUGGGGCUAGAAACAGCGGUGUGCUGUGCAGCCCUGAGCCUGGAGGGGAAGGGGAGGGGCAGUUUUUAGAAUCCAGAAAGGGAGACCUGCCUGACCCGAGUUGUGGUCUUAUUUUUAUUUUUUUUCCUUCUCCCCAAAGCCCCCCAAUACGUAGUUGUAUAUUUUAGUUGUGGGUCCUUCUGUUUGUGGCAUGUGGGAUGCCGCCUCAGCAUGGCCGGACAAGCGGCGCCACAUCCACGCCCAGGAUCCGAACCUGCGAACCCAUGGGCCACCAAAGCGGAGUGGGAACUUAACCACUCGGCCACGGGGCCACCCCCGAGCUUUGGUCUUUAGUGGGGACACAGUCAGCCUGUGGCAACAUCCCAGUAAGGAAGCUGGGGGGAAAAACAAACCCUGACCUGGCUCUUCUUCCUCCCUCUGAAACCCUGCCCUGGCUCUCCAAGUGCCAACCCCAACAGGAAGACAGAGAUCAAGGAAGCCCAUUGAUGUAUUCUACGUAGUCAGUCCUCUCACUAAUCAGAGCUGGAAGGGGCCACUACUUGCCGAUAACCUCUACGUAAAAAACCACAGAAUUGAAAUGCAAUUGUUCUAAUUUGCCUUGGGUAGGUCAAGUCUCCAUCUCUGCACCAAUCACUGUAGCAGAAGGUGAUAGGGCGCUCUGACUGGCUAAGAAAGAAGCUGAGGGCAGAGUCGGCUCUGAUUCAACGUCUCAGCUAAGACCCGGAAAGCAAAUCUCCUAGGAAAAUCACUGUGUUGUUAACUGACCAGAUAAAAAGAACAGAUGUCCCCUACUGCCCAUAACGGGGCUCGUCGAGGACUUUUGAGUGGGGGUUUGCUGUUUCUGCUGGACGCAUUGGAGGGAAGAGACCAGAGUGCACUGGUGAAUGGGUCAGCCCAGCCAUAAGGGAUGGAGCUGCCUCUCUCCAGGCCUCAGUUUCCUAGCAGGGACGAAUCUUAACCUUCUGAGGCUAUAGCGCUCACCAGCAAGUUGUUAACAAACAAGUCCAGCCUUCUCAUCAAGAGCGCAGACCCCGCGUCGCCAGUAAAGACCACCCAGCCUUGUUUUCUGAAAUCUUUCCUUACAGUUCGACCUAGACGAGACCUCUCUGGACCCACUGAAGUUUGCUGGAAGGUGCCACCUAGUGGAACAUCAGAUGACCUGCCGCUUAGACAAAAAGAAACCUCAGGAAGGUUUUACAACGGAAAGCCGUCCAGCAGUGGUUCCCUCAAACUUGGCUGCAGCCACCCGGGGAUGGUGGAGUCCCUACCCUCCGAGGAUCUGAACCGGAGAAAUCCCGGGCCACCGAAGGGGAGCUCGGGAACUGAACCACUAGGCCACCAGCCAGCCUGCAUCCAGAGUUUUAAAAGACUAGGAGCUGAAAUGCCACUAAAUGCGCACACUGGCCUAAACCACCUGAGUGGUGUUCCGUGUCUGGCUCCCUUUCUCCCAUCCUACCCUGCAAGAUUGGGUCCGGUUCCAGAAUUUUGGAAUUAAAAAAGACCUCAAAGAGCAUCUGGUUCAACUGCUUUAUUUAACGCAACCAUAAUCUAUGUUUACCUAGACAUCUCUAAUUCCUGCUACCACAUGCACUCAUGGACUCAUACAUCAUAAACCUGAUGAGAAUUUGAGCAACCUGCCUGAAGCCACAGAGGAAAUUAAGGGCAAAGUCUGCACUGAUCCAGGCUGAUUAGAGCCAGUUGGGGAAAUUUCAGCUCCAGGACUUUUGUUCUCUUCCUCUAUAGUAGAAGUCUGAGCCUUGUUAAAUGGCCAACCUGGUAGAGAUAGCAAUUUGGGUCGUUGACGCCAGUGUUAAUGAGUUUCCUGAGUGCAGGUUUUAAAGAGGAUCAUCCUGGCUGUGGCUUUCUUUAAUCUGAGUCUCAUUUGCAAAGGAGGAAGAGAAAAUCACCUACCCCACAGGUAACUUUGAGCAUUAAAAGAGGUAGUGCACGUGAAGGGUUUCACAUGGUGACUGGCAUAGAGUAAGCAUUCAAUAAAAGGUAAGCAUUACUGGGACAGAAAUCCACAUAAAGAUAGCAGCUCCUUGUGGAGGAGUUUUGGAGGACUUCAUGGAGGAGGUGGCAGUUCAACUAGACCUCGAAGGAUCAACAAGAUUUCCACGGCCACAGAGGGGAAGGGGAGGGGGCUUUCUGGGUGGAAGGAACUACGUAGUCUACAGCACAUGAAGGAAAACAGCCGGCAACCAGGCAGGGCAGAGAGGAGGAGAGAAUGUUUGAUCAGCCCCAGGAGGUUACAGCGAGAAAUGUGGACCCUAUAGCCGAGGUGAUGGGAGCUUUGAAGGUUUUGCAGCAAAUCUCAAGAUCCCAGCUGUGAUUUCAGAAAAUUGAAUCCCCACCGCUGGAAGAACUGGGAGGCAGGAGUCAUGGGGACGAGGGCUGAGCUAGAGAAGCAGAGAGUCAAGAGGACGCAUGCGAGGGUGGCAAAGAGGAAGGCAACGAAGGGGGCACUUCAUCCCUUGGCAUCAGAGACGAAGCAAUUAAGUGAAGAGCAUUGAGGAGCCACAGGCAUCACCAUGGGAGUCGGGCUCGGCGGCCCUCCGCAGCGCCCAGGCGGCCCGACUUCUCAGAGCCCUCACCACGGUUAUAGACACAUGCCCUGGUCUCAUGCGAUUACGUGUUUAAUGUUUCAGCUCCCAGACAAAGGGUCUGUUUUCAUUUCACCCUGGUGCCUGGCACAGUGUCUGCACACAGUAGGCGUUCGCUGAUGGUUUGCUGAGUGGCUGAACGGGAGAUAGAAACCCACAAGAGGUUUAGAGAAAGGGCUCCGUGAGCUGAAUGCCUAGAAGUCCACGUGGGACUGGAAGGCAUUCCAACUCCAGGGAGGCUUGGACUUGCGUGAGAAAAGGUCCUGCGGAGAGGCUCCGGUCACCUCCCCGCCGGUUUGCAGGGACAACAGAUGGGUGGCGGGCAGGCACGGCACUCCACAGUUUACAGAGGGCGUUCACCCCUAACGCCAGGAACACCG
RNAcentral lists this long non-coding RNA (3842 nucleotides) under Equus caballus (horse). RNAcentral's name for it is "lncRNA (ENSECAG00000046510.1)". Lineage: Eukaryota; Metazoa; Chordata; Mammalia; Perissodactyla; Equidae. The record is from RNAcentral.